UGAUAUUUAAUCUGUUGUUGGGACUGGGC
Molecule: non-coding RNA, 29 nt
Filed under: Mus musculus (house mouse)
Lineage: Eukaryota; Metazoa; Chordata; Mammalia; Rodentia; Muridae
Source: RNAcentral